GACGGGGGAGCACCACAACGGGUGGAGCUUGCGGUUUAGUUGGAUUCAACGCCGGAAAUCUUACCGGGACCGACAGCAAUAUGGAGGCCAGGCUGAAGACUUUGCCGGAUUAGCUGAGAGGUGGUGCAUGGCCGUCGUCAGUUCGUACUGUGAAGCAUCCUGUUAAGUCAGGCAACGAGCGAGACCCACGCCCACAGUUGCCAGCGUACUCUCUGGAGUGACGGGUACACUGUGGGGACCGCCGCUGCUAAAGCGGAGGAAGGAAUGGGCAACGGUAGGUCAGUAUGCCCCGAAUCUCCCGGGCCACACGCGAGCUGCAAUGGCAGGUACAAUGGGUUCCGACCUCGAAAGGGGAAGGCAAUCUCGAAAGCCUGCCGUAGUUGGGAUCGAGGGUUGUAACCCACCCUCGUGAACAUGGAAUCCCUAGUAAUCGCGUGUCAUUAGCGCGCGGUGAAUACGUCCCUGCUCCUU
RNAcentral lists this ribosomal RNA (471 nucleotides) under uncultured Methanosaeta sp. RNAcentral's name for it is "bacterial SSU rRNA". It matches the Rfam family "Archaeal small subunit ribosomal RNA", at positions 867 to 1338 of the family's 1478-position model. The record is from RNAcentral. Lineage: Archaea; Methanobacteriati; Methanobacteriota; Methanomicrobia; Methanotrichales; Methanotrichaceae.